UACGGAGGGUGCAAGCGUUAAUCGGAAUUACUGGGCGUAAAGGGUGUGUAGGCGGUUCUUUAAGUUUGCUGUGAAAUCUCCCGGCUUAACCGGGAGGGUGCGGUGAAUACUGAGGGACUAGAGUACGGGAGAGGAAAGUGGAAUUCCUGGUGUAGCGGUGAAAUGCGUAGAGAUCAUGAGGAAGACCAGUGGCGAAGGCGGGUCUCUGGACAGUUCCUGACACUGAGACACGAAGGCCAGGGGAGCAAACGGG
This 253-nucleotide ribosomal RNA is filed under the name uncultured bacterium. RNAcentral's name for it is "partial 16S ribosomal RNA". It matches the Rfam family "Bacterial small subunit ribosomal RNA", at positions 524 to 776 of the family's 1533-position model. The record is from RNAcentral.